AUACGGAGGGUGCAAGCGUUACUCGGAAUCACUGGGCGUAAAGCGCGCGCAGGCGGCUUUGUAAGUUGGAUGUGAAAUCCUAUGGCUCAACCAUAGAACUGCAUCCAAAACUACUUAGCUAGAGUCUGGGAGGGGAAGAUGGAAUUAGUGGUGUAGGGGUAAAAUCCGUAGAGAUCACUAGGAAUACCAAAAGCGAAGGCGAUCUUCUGGAACAGUACUGACGCUGAGGCGCGAAAGCGUGGGGAGCAAACAGGAUUAGAUACCCUGGUAGUCCACGCCCUAAACGAUGAAUGUUAGUCGUCGGAGAGCUCGUCUCUUCGGUGAUGCAGCUAACGCAUUAAACAUUCCGCCUGGGGAGUACGGUCGCAAGAUUAAA
This 376-nucleotide ribosomal RNA is filed under the name uncultured bacterium. Its description in RNAcentral is "bacterial SSU rRNA". It matches the Rfam family "Bacterial small subunit ribosomal RNA", at positions 523 to 898 of the family's 1533-position model. The record is from RNAcentral.